RNAcentral lists this ribosomal RNA (116 nucleotides) under Collinsella intestinalis. The record is from RNAcentral. RNAcentral also lists the same sequence under 2 other names. Lineage: Bacteria; Bacillati; Actinomycetota; Coriobacteriia; Coriobacteriales; Coriobacteriaceae.
GUCAGCGGCCAGAGCAGGGGUGGCACGCCCGGACCCGUUCCGAACCCGGAAGCUAAGACCCCUCGCGCCGAUGGUACUGCGGGGUGAGCCCGUGGGAGAGCAGGGCGCCGCUGACC